Long non-coding RNA from Hyaena hyaena (striped hyena), 1277 nucleotides. RefSeq lists it as uncharacterized. Lineage: Eukaryota; Metazoa; Chordata; Mammalia; Carnivora; Hyaenidae. The record is from RefSeq and is a predicted model, not a curated record. The transcript has 2 exons.
CUGAGAGCAAGCACAGGAGAACCCUGAUGCUUUUAGCACGGGGCCUAGCCUGCGUCUGUAUCUGGGGCCCGGAGCCCAGCUGCUGCAUUCCAGAAGUGGGUGCUCGUACCCUGAAACAGCACUUGGAGAAGAGCUCGAGAUAGGGUUUUGUGGCUGUGGGCCGGUCCCUCUCCUCUCUGGCCCUCCAUUUCCCCAUCUGUGAGUGGAAGGGGCUGGUUACAUGGUUACAUGCUCUGAGCUCUGACACCCCUGAGCUCGGCCCUCCUGGUCCUGACCAGUGCACCUCUCCACCCCACCCUGAGUGGUCACAGCCCCAGAGCCCACUCUCCCCAUUGAAGCUACUUCAUUUUCUCUGUAGGAGAGGUUUUUUGCAGGUCAGCUGUGGGCAGCAAGGGUCUGACCAGCAGGUCAGGCCUUUUGGCUUUCCACAGGUGGCCACGUGGAAAUCUUUACCCAGUCACACUGGGAAUGUGAAGCGAGACUGAAAUCUCCUCCGUCCCUUGCUGAUAGAAUAUAGAGGGCUCCCAAUUCAAGGCAUUUCAGUCGCUUGGGGUCAAAACUCAGCCUUUGCUGGUGACAGAACCCUGGUAGUUUCAGAGUGCUUCCUGUAACUCUUCUUCCUUCUCUCAAGGCUGGUUCCACUCCCUGACAGGGUUGCUGUGUGUCCUGUCCCUCAGGAAAGGGCUUCUCUUCCUAGGUGUCCUUGCUUUCACUGACCUCUGCUGACCCCUCGCCUUCUCACCCUGGCCUGGGGUGUCAGCCUCUGUCUGGCUGUUGAUGUCCAUGGCUCUGCUGUGGGCUCCAGAGCAUUAUUCUUGUCCCUCUCACCAGGCUACCCUGCUCUGUCUGCCCACCCGGACAUGGGCACAGCAUUCUGGGGUUCUUGCCAUCCCUGUGGGGGGCUGACCUCAGGGUUCCCAUCUACACUCCCACCCUCACCUUUGCUAUCCUAUUGCUCAAAAGGUUUAUAGGCUCCCAGCUACACAUUGGACAUCAUGAAAAGCCUGUUUUAUUCUAGAAUUCCUCUCAGCUGAACGGGUUUUGUAUUGUUUUUUGGUGAACACUUCCCCAUCGCCAAGGCCAAGUCUUAAAGAAAUCUCCAGUUGCCAAACUUCCGUGACAUUCCUUCAGACCUUCCUUUAUCUAUGGCCUCCUAGAGCCCAUAUGCUCUGGGGCUGGAAGAGCACUUUUGGGGGCACCUGGCUUUUGACAAUGAAACCUGUGGCUGUCCAGACUAUGUAGGCUGUGCCAUAGAUUUAAAAGGUCACCUUAAAUGA